UUUUCCCCCAGGCGAGAACAUACAUUUCAGUAGUUCUCCGGCUCCCUGUGAGGGAAAUAGCGUCCCGUUCAACCUCCCCCUGGGGGGCGAUACACGUUCCCCCCAAAAAUGGGGAAUGGAAUGAACAAGGUUUUACCGGGUCUUUACGUGGGAAAUUAUCGCGAUUCCAAGGAUUCGUCCCAACUAGCUAAACACAACAUCACCCAUAUUCUUGCCAUCCAUGAUACUGCUCGAAGAAUACAUUCGGAUAAACACUAUCUCUGCGUAAUGGCCUCGGAUACUCCAGAUCAGAACCUGACUCAGUAUUUUUCCCUUUGUAACGACUUCAUUCAUGCCGCCCGUCUGCGAGAUGGAAACGUCCUUAUUCACUGUCUUGCUGGUAUGUCCCGAAGUGUAACAGUGGCUGUGGCUUAUAUAAUGUCCGUUACCACUUUGAACUGGAAAGAUGCCCUCAAGGUGGUGCGAGCUGGCAGAAAUGUGGCCAAUCCCAAUCUGGGCUUCCUCAAACAGCUGGAGGAGUUUGAGUGCACGCGGCUGAUUGAGGAACGUCGAAGAUUGAAGGAACGCUACCCCAGUUUGGCGUUGGUUUACAAGGACCAGGAGCAGUGCGCUCUCAUGCUCAACAACUACGAAGAACUCUUGCAAUCAAGAAGCAUUUGUGAGGGAAAUUGUGCCUUAGGAGAGACGUGCCCCAGUGGGUUGUGCAGAGCUUGACAUGUCUUCAGGUCCGCAUCCCAAAGGAAACCGCGCACCCGAACCAAUCAAAGAUCUCAGUCAGAAAUGCACCGAAGUCCGAGCUCUAGCAGUACCAGAAGCAGCACUUGCAGUACUGGCGGCCGGCCCCGAUCCGGCCCUGCGGGUCUUCGAAGUUUGGCUUCAGCUCCACCAUCACGAUCAGGCAGCCGAGUCGACUUGUCCUCCAGUGGGAUGAACUUAACAGCUCCAUCCACUCCCCAAUGCAGCCCUCCGGUCUCUCCUUUGAGGAGGAGAGGCACUCAAGGCCGGGUCCAGGUUCCUUUAGCUCUUAAAGAAGACGAUUUUGACGAAUUAUAGCGGCAAUUUGAUCAUCUGCUGAGGCGACAAUCUCAUCGAAUUGAACAGAAUUAGAAAUAUGGAAGAAACAAUGAGCAAUAUAUUGUGUAUGCGACUUUAGGUCGCAGGUCUGGAUACUAGGUUGUGAAGGAAUGAGAAUCAUUGCGCAAUCAAAGAUACAUAUUUCACUUACGGUUAGAGCUCAAAAAACAUGUUUGCAAUAAAUAGUUCUUUGUAGGAAGGUUUGUGAGUAACUCCUCUGUCCAUUGCGUUUAGUUGUCUGCCCAUUAAGGAUAGAAGUUACUGUAGGCGAUUUAGUUAUCAUAUCAACUUCGGAACUAGGUAUAACUGUGAUAGGAGCUGUGCUAGUUGAAGAGUUUGAUAUUGAUUUUUUGCUUGCGUGUCCUUUUUCCUUUCAAGAUCGAAUUGAUGUGAGUUCUUUGGCAGGUUUGCGGGAAAUUGAUAAAAAAGUUGUGAUUUUCGAAAGCUAUUUUAAAAAUUAAGCGAUAUUUGACAAGUCCAUUUUUAUACGAGAACAAGGGCCGUUUUCCGCAGUUAAAUUCGGCCAUGAUCUUCGAGAGUUUUAUAUGGCUUUUGACUUAUGUAGGUGGUAGAUAGAUCGCAUUAAACAACAAAUAUUCAAUUAUAACGAAUAGAGGCAAUAUUUUUAGUGAUAACGCAACAUUGUUAGAGUUUAUAUUGUUAAAGCGAUUUUAAAAAUACAUUUUAGCAAUAACAUAUCAACUAUAUAUUUACACUUUUUAAAACGUCGCGCUCUAAUUAUAUAAUAGGGGUUUGAUGUGGUUUUAUUUGGAAAACAUUCUCAUAAUGGAGGUUUUGAUUUACCCAGUAGAGCACUAGCAAGUUUGUUGAAAAGUGGGCUUUUAUAAGUGAAAGUUACUUGGCUGAUUAAACCGAUUCAUUGCUUCGUAUGAUCAGUAAUCAAGAAUUGGCGAGUUUUUUCAGCGGGUACACUUAAAUAUAACAAUGCUUACUAGGUGAUACGCAAAUGCGCGAAAAACUGUAGCAGUUACUACUAUAGAAUUAUCUUUAGGGUGGAAAGUGGAAAAAGUGGCCACUUCAAGCACAAUUUUUACUUAGUGUUUUACUCACUAUAAUUGACACUUUGCUAUGUUGAUUGCUGAAUUGAAAGUUUUUAUUCCAUUUGUGUGUUUCUCCCAUUUUUGGACCAAAAGAGUUGUGCUACCUUAAAACGAUUAUAGCGCUGUGGAAGUCUGGUACCUAUCGAAAACAGUUGUCCCGAAACGGUCCAUAUUUAAAGAGUUAUAUGAAGAAAAAUAUAUAGCGUUGUUAAAAGUAGUUUGUUAAGAAAUGUAUAAUUUUCAACACAUUGAAGAGAUAUCUGAAUAUAUUGCUUUUAAAAUAUAUGAAA
This is an RNA transcript of Dendroctonus ponderosae (mountain pine beetle), 2425 nucleotides long. It is a transcript of the gene named dual specificity protein phosphatase 22, with no coding region annotated. The transcript is spliced from 7 exons. Lineage: Eukaryota; Metazoa; Arthropoda; Insecta; Coleoptera; Curculionidae. The record is from RefSeq and is a predicted model, not a curated record.